GAAUAGCCGCUGAGCGGGGAGGAGAGAGGGACAGAGAGCCUGCUUCUUUAAAGGAGCAAAGCGGUUGGUUCCUUUAAAGCAAGCAGGCUCUCUGUCCCUCUCUCCUCCCCACUCAGCUCGCUACAU
Podarcis lilfordi (Lilford's wall lizard) is the source of this 126-nucleotide non-coding RNA. The record is from the annotation of a GenBank genome assembly. NCBI's taxonomy places the organism in Eukaryota, Metazoa, Chordata, Lepidosauria, Squamata, Lacertidae.